This 161-nucleotide small nuclear RNA is filed under the name Triticum dicoccoides. RNAcentral's name for it is "snRNA U1". It matches the Rfam family "U1 spliceosomal RNA". From Rfam's summary of the family: U1 is a small nuclear RNA (snRNA) component of the spliceosome (involved in pre-mRNA splicing). Lineage: Eukaryota; Viridiplantae; Streptophyta; Magnoliopsida; Poales; Poaceae. The record is from RNAcentral.
AUACUUACCUGGACGGGGUCGACGACUGAUCAAGAAGAGUCGUGGCCUAGGCUAGUGGUCCACAUUGCACUUGGUGGAUGCGCUGGCUUACCAUCUCCUCAAAUGGAAGAGUGGACGUCAUAAUUUGUGAUAGAGGGGGUACGCGUCCGCGCGGCCCCUGC